Molecule: ribosomal RNA, 257 nt
Filed under: uncultured bacterium
Lineage: Bacteria
Description: partial 16S ribosomal RNA
Rfam family: Bacterial small subunit ribosomal RNA
Source: RNAcentral
UACAGAGGGUGCGAGCGUUAAUCGGAAUUACUGGGCGUAAAGGGCGCGUAGGCGGUUUAUUAAGUUAGAUGUGAAAAUUCUGGGCUUAACCUAGGACGUGCAUUUAAGACUGAUGAGCUAGAGUAUUGUAGAGGGAAGUGGAAUUUCCGGGUAUAGCGGUGAAAUGCGUAGAUAUCGGAAAGAACAUCAGUGGCGAAGGCGGCUUCCUGGACAAAUACUGACGCUGAGGCGGCGAAAGCAUGGGUAGCAAACAGGAU